RNAcentral lists this ribosomal RNA (274 nucleotides) under uncultured bacterium. RNAcentral's name for it is "partial 16S ribosomal RNA". It matches the Rfam family "Bacterial small subunit ribosomal RNA", at positions 523 to 796 of the family's 1533-position model. The record is from RNAcentral.
AUACGGAGGUUGCGAGCGUUACUCGGAGUCACUGGGCGUAAAGCGUCCGUAGGCGGUCGGGUAAGUCGGGUGUGAAAGCCCCGGGCUCAACCUGGGAAGUGCACCCGAUACUGCUCGACUCGAGUGCGGGAGAGGAUGGCGGAAUUCCCGGUGUAGCGGUGAAAUGCGUAGAGAUCGGGAGGAACACCAGUGGCGAAGGCGGCCAUCUGGCCCGCAACUGACGCUGAGGGAUGAAAGCGUGGGGAGCAAACAGGAUUAGAUACCCUAGUAGUCC